RNAcentral lists this transfer RNA (82 nucleotides) under Daphnia pulex (common water flea). RNAcentral describes it as "tRNA-Ser". It matches the Rfam family "tRNA". Rfam says of the family: Transfer RNA (tRNA) molecules are approximately 80 nucleotides in length. Their secondary structure includes four short double-helical elements and three loops (D, anti-codon, and T loops). The record is from RNAcentral. Lineage: Eukaryota; Metazoa; Arthropoda; Branchiopoda; Diplostraca; Daphniidae.
GCAGAUAUGGCCGAGUGGAUAAGGCGACUGACUCGAAAUCAGUUUCCAUCUUGGAGCGUAGGUUCGAAUCCUACUAUCUGCG